AGUAGAGUCUUCCUUCUACAAGAUACCAUGAAGGACCAAAGAAAAGUAAAAUUUUCAUCUUCAAAAUGAGCUUUCAUCAAAGAAAAAGGAAGAAAGAUGGCUCUAAGGAAGAAAUUAAUGGUGGCAAUGUGUGAAGAGGGGUACAAAGAACAGUGGCACGGGUAUGAUACAAAGAACAGUGGCACGGUGAAUUUAUGAAAAUAACAACACCAGUGCAUCACCAUUGUAGAAAAUGAGAAGAAGACUAACGAGUGCAAAGGAGAAAAGAACACUCAUAGAUAAUCCCACUAUAUACAUAUAAUCACCAUUAAUAUUUCAUUCAGCAAUUCCUGGGAAUGCCUACUGCAUACAGUCUACUCUGCUGGCAGUAUAAAUACAGAAGUGACUAAUACAUACUAUCUGUUCUCAAAGUAGGGCAGAAAAAAGGGAUUUUGCCAGCCUUAUGUAAUGUACAGAUUCAGAAUUCAUCUUAUAUUCUUCAUGCUGUUUUAAGUCUUUUGUAUAAAGCUUAAUAUUAACAUUGUAUGAUAGGAGAGCCCUUCUGCCUGGUCUUUUGCUCUUAGGAAAGUGAAAGCAUAUUACCUAACCAGGGCACCUCAGGAGGUGGGUGGUC
RNAcentral lists this long non-coding RNA (613 nucleotides) under Callithrix jacchus (white-tufted-ear marmoset). RNAcentral describes it as "lncRNA (ENSCJAG00000084983.1)". The record is from RNAcentral. Lineage: Eukaryota; Metazoa; Chordata; Mammalia; Primates; Cebidae.